This 455-nucleotide ribosomal RNA is filed under the name uncultured bacterium. RNAcentral describes it as "bacterial LSU rRNA". It matches the Rfam family "Bacterial large subunit ribosomal RNA", at positions 1631 to 2094 of the family's 2925-position model. The record is from RNAcentral.
UAUAACAGCGACCGUACUAAACUAGACACAGGUAGGUGAGGCGCGUAGCCUCAGGCGACUCGGGAAAACGCUGGUUAGGAACUCUGCAAAUUGGCCCCGUAACUUCGGGGAUAAGGGGUGCCAUCGCAAGAUGGUCUCAGCAAAGCGGCACUAGCGACUGUUUACUAAAAACACAGGUCUCUGCGAACUCGUAAGAGGAUGUAUAGAGACUGACGCCUGCCCGGUACCGGUAAGUUAAUAAAGAGGGGUUAGCCUUCGGGCGAAGCCAGCAAUUGAAGCUCCGGUAAACGGCGGCCGUAACUAUAACGGUCCUAAGGUAGCGAAAUUCCUUGUCGGGUAAGUUCCGACCUGCACGAAUGGCGUAACGAUGGCCACACUGUCUCCUCCUGAGACUCAGCGAAGUUGAAAUGUUUGUGAUGAUGCAAUCUCCCCGCGGAAAGACGGAAAGACCCCAU